GAGCAGGUGCGAAAGCAGGUCAUAGUGAUCCGGUGGUUCUGAAUGGAAGGGCCAUCGCUCAACGGAUAAAAGGUACUCCGGGGAUAACAGGCUGAUACCGCCCAAGAGUUCAUAUCGACGGCGGUGUUUGGCACCUCGAUGUCGGCUCAUCACAUCCUGGGGCUGAAGUAGGUCCCAAGGGUAUGGCUGUUCGCCAUUUAAAGUGGUACGCGAGCUGGGUUUAGAACGUCGUGAGACAGUUCGGUCCCUAUCUGCCGUGGGCGCUGGAGAACUGAGGGGGGCUGCUCCUAGUACGAGAGGACCGGAGUGGACGCAUCACUGGUGUUCGGGUUGUCAUGCCAAUGGCACUGCCCGGUAGCUAAAUGCGGAAGAGAUAAGUGCUGAAAGCAUCUAAGCACGAAACUUGCCCCGAGAUGAGUUCUCCCUGAGACUUAAAGUCUCCUGAAGGAACGUUGAAGACG
Molecule: ribosomal RNA, 461 nt
Filed under: Salmonella enterica
Lineage: Bacteria; Pseudomonadati; Pseudomonadota; Gammaproteobacteria; Enterobacterales; Enterobacteriaceae
Description: partial 23S ribosomal RNA
Rfam family: Bacterial large subunit ribosomal RNA
Source: RNAcentral